AGAAUCGACGCUGGCGGCGUGCCUAACACAUGCAAGUCGAACGAGAAAGUGGGAGCAAUCCCACGAGUAAAGUGGCGCACGGGUGAGUAACACGUGACUAACCUACCCUUGAGUGGGGGAUAACCUAGGGAAACCUGGGCUAAUACCGCAUAAUACCUACGGGUCAAAGGAGCAAUUCGCUUUAGGAGGGGGUCGCGGCAGAUUAGUUAGUUGGCGGGGUAAUGGCCCACCAAGACAGUGAUCUGUA
This 247-nucleotide ribosomal RNA is filed under the name uncultured bacterium. Its description in RNAcentral is "partial small subunit ribosomal RNA". It matches the Rfam family "Bacterial small subunit ribosomal RNA", at positions 26 to 285 of the family's 1533-position model. The record is from RNAcentral.